AGUCGAACGAAGUAGCAAUACUUAGUGGCAGACGGGUGAGUAACAUGUAGGUAUCUGCCCUUUGGCCUGGAAUAACACGAGGAAACUUGUGCUAAUACCGGAUAAGUCUUUACGGAGAAAGCUUUAUGCACCAUUGGAUGAGCCUGCACUUGAUUAGUUUGUUGGUGGGGUAAUGGCCUACCAAGACUGUGAUCAAUAGCUGAUUUGAGAGGAUGAUCAGCCACAUUGGGACUGAGACACGGCCCAAACUCCUACGGGAGGCAGCAGUGGGGAAUCUUGCACAAUGGAGGAAACUCUGAUGCAGCGAUGCCGCGUGAGUGAAGAAGGCCCUUGGGUUGUAAAGCUCUUUCGUCGGGGAAGAAAAUGACUGUACCCGAAUAAGAAGGUCCGGCUAACUUCGUGCCAGCAGCCGCGGUAAUACGAAGGGACCUAGCGUAGUUCGGAAUUACUGGGCUUAAAGAGUUCGUAGGUGGUUGAAAAAGUUGGUGGUGAAAUCCCAGAGCUUAACUCUGGAACUGCCAUCAAAACUUUUCAGCUAGAGUAUGAUAGAGGAAAGCAGAAUUUCUAGUGUAGAGGUGAAAUUCGUAGAUAUUAGAAAGAAUACCAAUUGCGAAGGCAGCUUUCUGGAUCAUUACUGACACUGAGGAACGAAAGCAUGGGUAGCGAAGAGGAUUAGAUACCCUCGUAGUCCAUGCCGUAAACGAUGUGUGUUAGACGUUGGAAAUUUAUUUUCAGUGUCGCAGCGAAAGCGAUAAACACACCGCCUGGGGAGUACGACCGCAAGGUUAAAACUCAAAUGAAUUGACGGGGACCCGCACAAGUAGUGGAGCAUGUGGUUUAAUUCGAAGAUACGCGCAGAACCUUACCAACACUUGACAUGUUCGUCGCGACUCUAAGAGAUUAGAGUUUUCGGUUCGGCCGGACGAAACACAGGUGCUGCAUGGCUGUCGUCAGCUCGUGUCGUGAGAUGUUGGGUUAAGUCCCGCAACGAGCGCAACCCUCACUUUUAGUUGCCAUCAUUUAGUUGGGCACUCUGAAAGAACUGCCAGUGAUAAGCUGGAGGAAGGUGGGGAUGACGUCAAGUCCUCAUGGCCCUUACGUGUUGGGCUACACACGUGCUACAAUGGUAUCUACAACAGGAAGCAAGACUGCGAGGUCAAGCAAAUCCUUAAAAGAUACCUCAGUUCGGAUUGCACUCUGCAACUCGAGUGCAUGAAGCUGGAAUUACUAGUAAUCGUGGAUCAGCGUGCCACGGUGAAUGCGUUCCCGGGUCUUGUACACACCGCCCGUCACACCAUGGGAGUUGGUUCUACCUUAAG
This 1319-nucleotide ribosomal RNA is filed under the name uncultured Pelagibacterales bacterium. Its description in RNAcentral is "uncultured SAR11 cluster alpha proteobacterium 16S ribosomal RNA". It matches the Rfam family "Bacterial small subunit ribosomal RNA", at positions 60 to 1426 of the family's 1533-position model. The record is from RNAcentral. Lineage: Bacteria; Pseudomonadati; Pseudomonadota; Alphaproteobacteria; Candidatus Pelagibacterales.